RNAcentral lists this ribosomal RNA (305 nucleotides) under Pelobates cultripes (western spadefoot toad). Its description in RNAcentral is "SSU_rRNA_microsporidia". It matches the Rfam family "Eukaryotic small subunit ribosomal RNA", at positions 154 to 470 of the family's 1831-position model. Lineage: Eukaryota; Metazoa; Chordata; Amphibia; Anura; Pelobatidae. The record is from RNAcentral.
AAAUAUUGGGACAUAUAAAAAAAGACAACUCUGUUCCGCAGAGUAGCUGUUGACAUUAUAGUUGCGCAGGCACUUUGUUGACUCUAGAGAACCUCGGGCCAAUCGCAUAUCCCCGUGGCGGUGACUUUGCAUUCGGAUGUCAUCCAUAUCAACUUUCAAUGCCAGUUUCUGUGCCUACCAUGGUGACCAUAGGUAACGGGGAAUCAGGGUUCCAUUCCGUACAGGGACCCUGAGAAACGGCUACCACAUGCAAGGAAGGCAGCAGGCGUGCAAAUGACCCACUCCCGACGCGGGAAGGUAGUGAU